GCUUAACACAUGCAAGUCGAGGGGCAUCAGGAAGAAAGCUUGCUUUCUUUGCUGGCGACCGGCGCACGGGUGAGUAACACGUAUCCAACCUGCCCUUUACUCGGGGAUAGCCUUUCGAAAGAAAGAUUAAUACCCGAUGGCAUAAUGAUUCCGCAUGGUUUCAUUAUUAAAGGAUUCCGGUAAAGGAUGGGGAUGCGUUCCAUUAGGUUGUUGGUGAGGUAACGGCUCACCAAGCCUUCGAUGGAUAGGGGUUCUGAGAGGAAGGUCCCCCACAUUGGAACUGAGACACGGUCCAAACUCCUACGGGAGGCAGCAGUGAGGAAUAUUGGUCAAUGGGCGCUAGCCUGAACCAGCCAAGUAGCGUGAAGGAUGAAGGCUCUAUGGGUCGUAAACUUCUUUUAUAUAAGAAUAAAGUGCAGUAUGUAUACUGUUUUGUAUGUAUUAUAUGAAUAAGGAUCGGCUAACUCCGUGCCAGCAGCCGCGGUAAUACGGAGGAUCCGAGCGUUAUCCGGAUUUAUUGGGUUUAAAGGGAGCGUAGGUGGACUGGUAAGUCAGUUGUGAAAGUUUGCGGCUCAACCGUAAAAUUGCAGUUGAUACUGUCAGUCUUGAGUACAGUAGAGGUGGGCGGAAUUCGUGGUGUAGCGGUGAAAUGCUUAGAUAUCACGAAGAACUCCGAUUGCGAAGGCAGCUCACUGGACUGCAACUGACACUGAUGCUCGAAAGUGUGGGUAUCAAACAGGAUUAGAUACCCUGGUAGUCCACACAGUAAACGAUGAAUACUCGCUGUUUGCGAUAUACAGUAAGCGGCCAAGCGAAAGCAUUAAGUAUUCCACCUGGGGAGUACGCCGGCAACGGUGAAACUCAAAGGAAUUGACGGGGGCCCGCACAAGCGGAGGAACAUGUGGUUUAAUUCGAUGAUACGCGAGGAACCUUACCCGGGCUUAAAUUGCAGUGGAAUGAUGUGGAAACAUGUCAGUGAGCAAUCACCGCUGUGAAGGUGCUGCAUGGUUGUCGUCAGCUCGUGCCGUGAGGUGUCGGCUUAAGUGCCGUAACGAGCGCAACCCUUAUCUUUAGUUACUAACAGGUCAUGCUGAGGACUCUAGAGAGACUGCCGUCGUAAGAUGUGAGGAAGGUGGGGAUGACGUCAAAUCAGCACGGCCCUUACGUCCGGGGCUACACACGUGUUACAAUGGGGGGUACAGAAGGCAGCUAGCGGGUGACCGUAUGCUAAUCCCAAAAUCCUCUCUCAGUUCGGAUCGAAGUCUGCAACCCGACUUCGUGAAGCUGGAUUCGCUAGUAAUCGCGCAUCAGCCACGGCGCGGUGAAUACGUUCCCGGGCCUUGUACACACCGCCCGUCAAGCCAUGGGAGCCGGGGGUACCUGAAGUACGUAACCGCAAGGAUCGUCCUAGGGUAAAACUGGUGACUGGGGCUAAGU
Molecule: ribosomal RNA, 1437 nt
Filed under: uncultured organism
Description: 16S ribosomal RNA
Rfam family: Bacterial small subunit ribosomal RNA
Source: RNAcentral